Erinaceus europaeus (western European hedgehog) is the source of this 330-nucleotide unclassified non-coding RNA. Its record names the gene 7SK. It matches the Rfam family "7SK RNA". From Rfam's summary of the family: 7SK was discovered as an abundant small nuclear RNA in the mid-70s but a possible function has only recently been suggested. The record is from Ensembl. Lineage: Eukaryota; Metazoa; Chordata; Mammalia; Eulipotyphla; Erinaceidae.
GGAUGUGAGGGCGAUUUGGCUGUGACAUCUGUCACUGCAUUGAUCACUAGGGUUGAUUUGGCAGAUCUGGCUGGUUAGGCAGAUGUCUGCUUUCUCCCUCACUGUUCCAUGUGUGUCCCUCCUGAAGCUGGCACUCGGUAGAAGAGGACUGCCUUCCUCGAAUAGAGACAGAUCGGUCUUUGGUCGAGGGUAUAUGAGUAGCUGCACUCCCCUGCUGGAACCUCCAAAUAAACUCUCAAGAAAGAAUUUCUCAGUUUUGAGAAUUCUAAGAUGUUAUGACAGAUAAUAAACUUUUUAAGUAAAACAUUUGUCUUUUUAAUGUUUUUGCUU